GCAUGGCUGAAUAUUGUGUUGUUUAGUCAGUGCUUGACACAAUCACACACCAAGCAAAGUCAGCUGUUUAAUUUUAUUUAU
Small nucleolar RNA from Jaculus jaculus (lesser Egyptian jerboa), 81 nucleotides. RefSeq annotates it as small nucleolar RNA SNORA15. The transcript has a single exon. Lineage: Eukaryota; Metazoa; Chordata; Mammalia; Rodentia; Dipodidae. The record is from RefSeq and is a predicted model, not a curated record.